GCCUCAGUAACGGCGAGUGAAGCGGCAAAAGCUCAAAUUUGAAAUCUGGCCCUUUCAGGGUCCGAGUUGUAAUUUGUAGAGGAUGCUUCGGGAGCGGCGGCGGUCUAAGUCCCCUGGAACGGGGCGUCAUAGAGGGUGAGAAUCCCGUCUUGGAUCGCAUUGCCGUGACCAUGUGAAGCUCCUUCGACGAGUCGAGUUGUUUGGGAAUGCAGCUCUAAAUGGGUGGUAAAUUUCAUCUAAAGCUAAAUACUGGCUGGAGACCGAUAGCGCACAAGUAGAGUGAUCGAAAGGUUAAAAGCACCUUGAAAAGGGAGUUAAAUAGCACGUGAAAUUGUUGAAAGGGAAGCGCUUGCAACCAGACUCUGCCUCGGAGGCUCAGUGGGCACGUGUGUCCAUGCACUCCUCCGGUGGUGGGGCCAGCAUCAGUUCUGACGGUCGGUCAAAGGCCCCUGGAAUGUAUCGUCCUCCGGGACGUCUUAUAGCUAGGGGUGCAAUGCGGCCAGUCGGGACUGAGGAACGCGCUUCGGCUCGGAUGCUGGCGUAAUGGUUGUAAGCGACCCGUCUUGAAACACGGACCAAGGAGUCGAACAUCAACGCGAGUGUUAGGG
Molecule: ribosomal RNA, 608 nt
Filed under: Sphaerosporium sp.
Lineage: Eukaryota; Fungi; Ascomycota; Pezizomycetes; Pezizales; Pyronemataceae
Description: partial large subunit ribosomal RNA
Rfam family: Eukaryotic large subunit ribosomal RNA
Source: RNAcentral